Small nuclear RNA from Capsella rubella, 195 nucleotides. It matches the Rfam family "U2 spliceosomal RNA". From Rfam's summary of the family: U2 is a small nuclear RNA (snRNA) component of the spliceosome (involved in pre-mRNA splicing). Complementary binding between U2 snRNA (in an area lying towards the 5' end but 3' to hairpin I) and the branchpoint sequence (BPS) of the intron results the bulging out of an unpaired adenosine, on the BPS, which initiates a nucleophilic attack at the intronic 5' splice site, thus starting the first of two transesterification reactions that mediate splicing. NCBI's taxonomy places the organism in Eukaryota, Viridiplantae, Streptophyta, Magnoliopsida, Brassicales, Brassicaceae. The record is from Rfam.
AUACCUUUCUCGGCCUUUUGGCUAAGAUCAAGUGUAGUAUCUGUUCUUAUCAGUUUAAUAUCUGAUAUGUGAAUCAUCGAUCCACUCGAUAUUAACUCAAUUUUUUUUGGGAGUGAGCCAUCGAAAUAGCUUGCUGUUUGUGCUCACGUUCGUCGCCCAUGCGUUGCACUAUUGCAAGGGCUUGGCGUAUCCCAC